GGUAGACAGAUGACUGGUAGGGGUGGGAGGGAAGGAGGGGUCGAGAGAGGGAGAGAGAGAGAGAGACUGAAAGAUUGAUCAGGUGGAAAGAAACCUGCCAUGUGAUUUUUCCAAAUCCCUUGACCCCUCUGGGUCUCAGUUUCUUUAUCUGUAAACACAAAGCAUUGACUUUGACACCCCCGCUCCCCCGCCUUAAAUGAUUUGAGCUCUGAUUCCUCUGGUAGAGAAAAGAUAGUGUGAGGGUCAUGCUGCCAGGAAGAGAAAAUACUACAUCUCUCUCUAAUAGAGCUCAAAGUCUCAGAAAAGCAGUUUUCAAUUCUUAAAGUAAUAACUGAACAAACUUCCAUAUGGAACUCACUGUUCUAAUCUCUCAUUUAAUCCUCCUAGAAUCCCCACAAGCGAGGUGUAGUUACUGGCUUCAUGUUGGAGGAAAAAGUUUGCUAACCCCUGAUGUCAAGGAAGGAACAUGUCGUUCUAAGCCUCGGAUCACACAACUUGGAAUCCAUACUUGUUUUUAUAAUGUACAUUUCAGAGUUUUAAUUUCUCAUCUGAGAAAUGGGAGACCGUAUUCCUGGGGCCAACUGGCCACUUAGCUCACUAAUUACGAUUAUGACACUGACUAAAAUCAUGAGUGUGGAAAUGCGUGGGAAGCUGUAAAAAGUUAUGAAGAAUGCUCAAUAUCAUUUGGACUGUUUUCAAAGCAUUUGACAAAAGAGAGACAGCCAAGAAAGUUGUUUUUUUCCUCAAUAGAGGUAAAGAGGAAAUAAAUAAUAAUGAUUGCCAAAGGGUACAUUAGCCUUUUUAUUUGUCUCAGUUAAUGUAUAGUUUGGAGGUGAUGUCAGCUGGGUUACAAAGACUAAAGGAAAAGAAGUAAAAUCCACAGCCACCCCGAGGAUGGGCUGAAGAAAUGUGUUAGGGGUGACGUACAAGCGGGUACUGUGGCGGUUAGAGGGGAGGUGGGCACAGGUCGGAGGGGAUGCCUAUCUUCCUGGGAGCUGCAGAGCGGGACUGGUGGGGGGCAAGAAUGGGAAGACAAAUUCAGGGAAUACUGCAUUUAUAACAACAAUUAUGCAUUGUUCAUCUGAAAUGCAAACCUAGCCGGGCAUUUUAUAUUUUUAUUUGAGAAAUCUGACAACUCUCCCCAUCCUGUGUGGAUCUUGGGGGUAGCCAAUCAUUGGACCCCCCACCCCUGGCCACAAAGCUUGUCUAGAUCCUAAGUCCUGAAACUCUGAAUGUGAAGCAAAGAUAAAUAAGGACAAAAGAUAGUUGGAGCUGAUUACCUGACGACAGUGUUCUGAAAAGACCUCAGAGCUCCCCGGUUCUGUCGUUUCCUAGGCCUGUGGUCCAGCCUUGUCUUUAACUCUGUCAACUUUGCCAUCAUUUUCAAACUAGCCUUUUCUGUUCCUUAAACCAGUGAGAGUUGGCUUCUGUUGUUUUCUGUCAAAGAGCCCUAGGC
This 1456-nucleotide long non-coding RNA is filed under the name Mustela putorius furo (domestic ferret). Its description in RNAcentral is "lncRNA (ENSMPUG00000031191.1)". The record is from RNAcentral. Lineage: Eukaryota; Metazoa; Chordata; Mammalia; Carnivora; Mustelidae.